This 697-nucleotide ribosomal RNA is filed under the name Shigella flexneri. Its description in RNAcentral is "bacterial SSU rRNA". It matches the Rfam family "Bacterial small subunit ribosomal RNA", at positions 86 to 779 of the family's 1533-position model. Lineage: Bacteria; Pseudomonadati; Pseudomonadota; Gammaproteobacteria; Enterobacterales; Enterobacteriaceae. The record is from RNAcentral.
CGCUGACGAGUGGCGGACGGGUGAGUAAUGUCUGGGAAACUGCCUGAUGGAGGGGGAUAACUACUGGAAACGGUAGCUAAUACCGCAUAACGUCGCAAGACCAAAGAGGGGGACCUUCGGGCCUCUUGCCAUCGGAUGUGCCCAGAUGGGAUUAGCUUGUUGGUGGGGUAACGGCUCACCAAGGCGACGAUCCCUAGCUGGUCUGAGAGGAUGACCAGCCACACUGGAACUGAGACACGGUCCAGACUCCUACGGGAGGCAGCAGUGGGGAAUAUUGCACAAUGGGCGCAAGCCUGAUGCAGCCAUGCCGCGUGUAUGAAGAAGGCCUUCGGGUUGUAAAGUACUUUCAGCGGGGAGGAAGGGAGUAAAGUUAAUACCUUUGCUCAUUGACGUUACCCGCAGAAGAAGCACCGGCUAACUCCGUGCCAGCAGCCGCGGUAAUACGGAGGGUGCAAGCGUUAAUCGGAAUUACUGGGCGUAAAGCGCACGCAGGCGGUUUGUUAAGUCAGAUGUGAAAUCCCCGGGCUCAACCUGGGAACUGCAUCUGAUACUGGCAAGCUUGAGUCUCGUAGAGGGGGGUAGAAUUCCAGGUGUAGCGGUGAAAUGCGUAGAGAUCUGGAGGAAUACCGGUGGCGAAGGCGGCCCCCUGGACGAAGACUGACGCUCAGGUGCGAAAGCGUGGGGAGCAAACAGGAUU